CUGAGUAAAGCUGUUAAUCCUGAUGAGGCUGUAGCCAUUGGAACUGCCAUUCAAGGGGGUGUGUUGGCUGGUGAUGUUACAGAUGUGCUACUCUUGGAUGUCACUCCCCUCUCUCUAGGUAUUGAGACACUGGGAGGUGUUUUUACCAAGCUUAUUAAUAGGAACACCACUUUUCCAACCAAAAAGAGCCAGGUGUUUUCUACUGCUGCUGAUGGACAAACUCAAGUAGAGAUUAAAGUGUGUCAGGGGAAAGAGAGAUGGCCGGAGACAACAAACUUUUAGGCCAGUUCACUUUGAUUGGAAUUCCCCCAGCCCCUCGUGGAGUGCCUCAGAUUGAAGUUCCAUUUGACAUUGAUGCAAAUGGGAUUGUGCACAUUUCUGCCAAAGAU
This 389-nucleotide long non-coding RNA is filed under the name Rattus norvegicus (Norway rat). RNAcentral describes it as "long non-coding RNA NONRATT018335". The record is from RNAcentral. Lineage: Eukaryota; Metazoa; Chordata; Mammalia; Rodentia; Muridae.